Molecule: microRNA precursor, 96 nt
Filed under: Podarcis lilfordi (Lilford's wall lizard)
Lineage: Eukaryota; Metazoa; Chordata; Lepidosauria; Squamata; Lacertidae
Source: RNAcentral
GCUCCAAUGUGCUCCCACUGGUAGUGUUUGAAGCUUUGUACAGUACAUGCUAUGUGUACAAAGCUUCAAACACUACCAGUGGGAGCACAUUGGAGU